RNAcentral lists this long non-coding RNA (232 nucleotides) under Ananas comosus (pineapple). RNAcentral describes it as "long non-coding RNA (ACOM_LNC015443)". Lineage: Eukaryota; Viridiplantae; Streptophyta; Magnoliopsida; Poales; Bromeliaceae. The record is from RNAcentral.
UUUUUUUUUUUUUUAGAGAAAGGUAUCAUUCUACGGAAAAAUUCUAGAAUGCAACGGGUAUAUUAGUGACACCGCGUAACAAGCAAAUUAAAUUAAUUCUUUUAAGAAUAUGUCCCAUCAUGAUUGUAAAAAAAUAUUUUUAUUGUACUUUUGUUUGAAAAGAAGGAAUGUGAUUGGCUUGUUAUUGAUUAUGUGGUGCAAGUGUGACAGUGUAGAAAGAUAUCAUUCUACG